RNAcentral lists this ribosomal RNA (2896 nucleotides) under Clostridioides difficile. Its description in RNAcentral is "23S ribosomal RNA". It matches the Rfam family "Bacterial large subunit ribosomal RNA". The record is from RNAcentral. Lineage: Bacteria; Bacillati; Bacillota; Clostridia; Peptostreptococcales; Peptostreptococcaceae.
UCAAGUUAUUAAGGGUGCAGGGCGGAUGCCUUGGCACUAGGAGCCGAUGAAGGACGUGAUAAGCUGCGAUAAGCUUCGGGGAGUUGCACGUAAACUUUGAUCCGAAGAUUUCCGAAUGAGGAAACUCACUUAGAGUAAUGUCUAAGUAUCAUUAAGUGAAUACAUAGCUUAAUGAGGGGAACUCAGGGAACUGAAACAUCUAAGUACCUGAAGGAAGAGAAAGAAAUUCGAUUCCGUAAGUAGCGGCGAGCGAACGCGGAUUAGCCCAAACCAAUAAAGUUUUCUUUAUUGGGGUUGCGGACAUAUCAUAACGAAGAGGUAUCGUAAUUGAAGAGGUUUGGAAAGACCCACCACAGAAGGUAAUAGUCCUGUAUGUUAAACGAGAAGACUUUAGAUAUGAUCCAGAGUACCACGGGACACGUGAAACCCUGUGGGAAGCAGGAGGGACCACCCUCCAAGGCUAAAUACUACCUAGUGACCGAUAGCGUAUAGUACCGUGAGGGAAAGGUGAAAAGAACCCCGGGAGGGGAGUGAAAUAGAACCUGAAACCCUGCGCUUACAAGCUGUGGAAGCACAUUUCUUGUGUGACCGCGUACUUUUUGUAGAACGGGCCAACGAGUUACGUUAAGUAGCAAGGUUAAGCACUUAAGGUGUGGAGCCGUAGCGAAAGCGAGUUUUAACUGAGCGUUCAGUUACUUGACGUAGACCCGAAACCGGGCGACCUACCCAUGAGCAGGAUGAAGCGAAAGUAAAAUUUCGUGGAGGUCCGAACCCACGAGCGUUGAAAAGCUCGGGGAUGACUUGUGGGUAGCGGUGAAAUUCCAAUCGAGCCCGGAGAUAGCUGGUUCUCCCCGAAAUAGCUUUAGGGCUAGCCUCAAGGUGAGAGAUACGGAGGUAGAGCACUGAAUGUCCUAGGGGGUAUUGCACCUACCGAAGACUAUCAAACUCCGAAUGCCGUCAUCUUAUACUUGGGAGUCAGACUGUGGGUGAUAAGAUUCAUAGUCGAAAGGGCAACAGCCCAGAUCGUCAGCUAAGGUCCCUAAAUGUAAGUUAAGUGGUAAAGGAUGUGGGAUUGCACAGACAACCAGGAUGUUGGCUUAGAAGCAGCCACUCAUUCAAAGAGUGCGUAAUAGCUCACUGGUCGAGUGAUCCUGCGCCGAAGAUUUCCGGGGCUAAAACUUACUACCGAAGCUACGGCAUCAGUAAUGAUGGGUAGGGGAGCUUCCCAUACGGGUUGAAGCAUGACCGUAAGGACAUGUGGACAGUAUGGGAGUGAGAAUGUUGGCAUGAGUAGCGAGAUGUGGGUGAGAAUCCCACAGGCCGUAAACCCAAGGUUUCCAGGGGAAGGUUCGUCCGCCCUGGGUUAGUCGGGACCUAAGCUGAGGCCGAAAGGCGUAGGUGAUGGACAACAGGUUGAUAUUCCUGUACUACCGAUAACCGUUUGAGAGAAGGGAUGACACAGUAGGAUAAGCUAAGCACACUGUUGGUUAUGUGUGCCCAAGCAUUGAGGCAGUCAAAGUAGGCAAAUCCGCUUUGAUAAUGCUGGGAUGUGAUGGGGAGCGAAAUUUAGUAGCGAAGUAGCUGAUUUCACACUGUCAAGAAAAGUCUCUAUCGAGGUUAAAGGUACCCGUACCGCAAACCGACACAGGUGGGUGAGGAGAGUAUCCUAAGGCCAGCGAGAGAACUGUUGUUAAGGAACUCGGCAAAAUGACCCCGUAACUUAGGGAUAAGGGGUGCCACCAUCAGGUGGCCGCAGAGAAUAGGCCCAAGCGACUGUUUACCAAAAACAUAGGUUUCUGCUAAGUCGCAAGACGAUGUAUAGGAGCUGACGCCUGCCCGGUGCUGGAAGGUUAAGGGGAUCUGUUAGAGCAAUCGAAGCAGUGAACUUAAGCCCCAGUAAACGGCGGCCGUAACUAUAACGGUCCUAAGGUAGCGAAAUUCCUUGUCGGGUAAGUUCCGACCCGCACGAAAGGCGUAACGAUUUGGGCACUGUCUCAACAACAGACUCGGUGAAAUUGUAAUUCCGGUGAAGAUGCCGGAUACCUGCGACAGGACGGAAAGACCCCAUGGAGCUUUACUGUAGCUUGACAUUGGGUCUUGGUACUACAUGUACAGGAUAGGUGGGAGGCUUUGAAACCAGGACGCCAGUUUUGGCGGAGCCAUCCUUGGGAUACCACCCUUGUAGUACUGGGACUCUAACCAUAGGCCAUGAAUCUGGUCUUGGGACACUGUCAGGUGGGCAGUUUGACUGGGGCGGUCGCCUCCCAAAAGGUAACGGAGGCGCUCAAAGGUUCUCUCAGUACGGUCGGAAAUCGUACGUAGAGUGUAAAGGCAAAAGAGAGCUUGAUUGCAAGACAUACAGGUCGAGCAAGGAUGAAAAUCGGACUUAGUGAUCCGGUGGUUCUGCGUGGAAGGGCCAUCGCUCAACGGAUAAAAGCUACCCUGGGGAUAACAGGCUUAUCUCCCCCAAGAGUCCACAUCGACGGGGAGGUUUGGCACCUCGAUGUCGGCUCAUCACAUCCUGGGGCUGUAGUAGGUCCCAAGGGUUGGGCUGUUCGCCCAUUAAAGUGGUACGCGAGCUGGGUUCAGAACGUCGUGAGACAGUUCGGUCCCUAUCCGUCGCAGGCGUAGGAAAUUUGAGAAGACCUGUCCUUAGUACGAGAGGACCGGGAUGGACGUACCUCUGGUGUACCAGUUGUCCUGCCAAGGGCAUGGCUGGGUAGCUAUGUACGGAAUGGAUAAGCGCUGAAAGCAUCUAAGCGCGAAGCCAACUUCAAGAUAAGAUUUCCCACCGCAAGGGUAAGACCCCAGAAAGACUAUCUGGUUGAUAGGUCGAAGGUGUAAGUGCAGCAAUGUAUUUAGCUUAUCGAUACUAAUAGGUCGAGGACUUGACCAA